Non-coding RNA from Xenopus tropicalis (tropical clawed frog), 77 nucleotides. The record is from Rfam. NCBI's taxonomy places the organism in Eukaryota, Metazoa, Chordata, Amphibia, Anura, Pipidae.
CCAGGCUGAGGUAGUAGGUUGUAUAGUUGAGGAUAACACCAAAGGAGAUAACUGUACAGCCUCCUAUCUUUCCCUGG